UACGAAGGGGGCUAGCGUUGCUCGGAAUCACUGGGCGUAAAGCGCACGUAGGCGGCUCUUUAAGUCAGAGGUGAAAUCCUGGGGCUCAACCCCAGAACUGCCUUUGAUACUGAGGAGCUUGAGUCCGGGAGAGGUGAGUGGAACUGCGAGUGUAGAGGUGAAAUUCGUAGAUAUUCGCAAGAACACCAGUGGCGAGGGCGGCUCACUGGCCCGGUACUGACGCUGAGGUGCGAAAGCGUGGGGAGCAAACAGG
Molecule: ribosomal RNA, 253 nt
Filed under: uncultured bacterium
Lineage: Bacteria
Description: partial 16S ribosomal RNA
Rfam family: Bacterial small subunit ribosomal RNA
Source: RNAcentral